UCUGUCAGUGUAGGGUUACUAUGAGCUCUCUAACAAACUACUACAUCCAGGCCUCAAAGCUGCUGGAAAAUGAUCUGGAUUACGAAGGAAUAAAUUUGAUAUGUUAGCAAUCACAAGUGGGAACUGAAAAGAAAGGCUUCCUUAAUACGGUUCUUUUAGGCUAUAAUGGGAAAUACGAAGAUAAAUCUGGCUCAGCGACAAACCCACAUAAGACUGCGGCAAGCACACAGAAUAUAGAUCUCGGUUAUGAGAUGUGUAAAACACACAAUGGCCUGAAUCAGGAGCUAAGUAUAUAAGUGCAAACAAACCCGUUUUUAUAGUUAGCAUGGCAUUUUGAAUGGAGUUUUAAGCCUAAAGGACAGUAUCCUACUUGCAGAAGAAGAUGGGAAAUAAAACACUCCAUUAUUUUGCUUUGGAUUUAUGGAAACUCUGAACAGUGAUGUGAGAGUGACUGCAGUUUGAAGUCUCUGUUAAAUACAGCAACAUGACAUCACAAGUAGACUUGCUAUACCAGAAAAGUCAAAAGAAGUUCUUCAGAGAGAAGAAAUAUGAUACAUAUCAGAAACUUGGGACUACAUAAAGAAAGAGCAUUGGAAAAAAACUAAGUGAAGGGACAUGGAUGAAUCUGGAGAACAUCAUCCUCAGCAAACUGACACAAGAACAGAAAAUGAAACACCGCAUAUUCUCACUCAUAGGUGGGUGAUGAAAAAUGAGAACACAUGGACACAGAAAGGGGAGUACUAAACACUGGGGUCUAUUGGGGGGAAAAGGGGAGGGCCAGUGGGAGGGGGAGGUGGGGAGGGAUAGCCUGGGGAGAAAUGCCAAAUGUGGGUGAAGGGGAGAAGAAAAGCAAAGCACACUGCCAUGUGUGUACCUACGCAACUGUCUUGCAUGCUCUGCUCAUGUACCCCAAAACCUAUAAUCCAAUAAAAAAUUAAAAAAAAAAAAAGAAAUUGUGAUAGAUAGAUAGAUAGAUAGAUAGAUAGAUAGAUAUCAUGGAAUAGUACUCGGCCAUAAAAAGGAAUAGAAUAAUGGCAUUCCCAGAAACCUGGAUGGAACUGGAGAUCAUUAUUCUAAGCGAAGUAACUCAGGAAUGGAAAACCAAAAAAUCAUAUGUUCUCACCCAUAAGUGAGAGCUAAGCUAUGAGAAUGCAAAGGAAUAAGAAUGAUGCAAUGGACUUUGGGGACUCCGGGAAAGGAUGCAAGGUGGGUGAAGGAUAAAAGACUACACAGUGAGUACAGUGUACUCUGCUCAGGUGAUGGGUGCACCAAACUCUCAGAAGUCACCACUAAAGAACUUAUUCAUGUAACCAAAUACAACCUAUUCCUUAAAAACCUAUUCAAUAAUCCAUCAUUCAAUAAAAGAGCAAUAAAUGAAAAAAUAUAUAUAUAUAUAUUAUUAAGUGAAAGAAGUCAGUCUUAAAAGACUAACAUACUGUAUAAUCCAAACUGUAUGCCAUUCUGGAAAAGGAAAAACUAUGGAGACAGUAAACAUAAAAGUGGUUGUCAGGGUUUAGGGGAGAGGUAGGGAUGAAUAGGCAAAGCAUGGAAGAUUUUUAGAGCAGUAAAACUAUUCCGUAUGUAACUGCAAUGGUAAAUACAUGUUAUUAUAUAUUUGUCAAAACUAGAAUGUAUAGCACCAAGAGGAAACCCUCAUACAAACUAUGAACUUUGAAUGAUAAAUGUACUACUGUGGUAUGGAAUGUUGAUAGUGUGUGAAAACUCUGUAAUUCUCAAUUUUUCUCUAACCUAAAACUUCCCUAAAAUGUAGUUUAUUAGUUAAAAAAUUAAAUGCUGUGGCCUUUCUAAAUAAUAUUCCUGUGAAUGAAAAAAGGGUCAAUGAAAUAACUUAAUUUUUCAGACUUUUAAACAUACUUUCCCAUAGAACAUAAAAUUUUAUAGAUGUUUUCAGUAAACACUAUUUACAUAUGGAUUUACAAUUGAAUUUCCAAUUUAUAUAAUAAAAGACAAUAGGAAAUUGUGAGUUCUUUAAAAAAUGAAAUUUCUACACCAUAAACCAAGAUAUUUCAGAUCAUAUUAGCAAUUGAGAUAAAAUUGAACCACAUGAUGAAGUUUGUAAAUGUUGGUAAUAAAUUGAGCAGAUUUUAAUAAAAAUUUAAGUUGACAUAUGAGAUAACAUUUGUGAUUUAUGGUUUAGGUUGGAAAUGGUUGGUCAUUUUUAUUCUGUGGUUUGAACUCAGUGGACUGAAGCAGUAUAUGAUGAGUUGCUUUUAAUGUAGUUUUCAGAUUUCUAAGCUUUCUAACCUGAGGAGCUAUAUAUGAAACCAGAAGUCAUCCUUAAAGCCUUGAAGAAGUUUCUUCCAUUCAAAGAAAAGCACAUUAAACAAUUAACAACAAUUUCUACUGGGAGCUUUAAGCAAUUUAU
Long non-coding RNA from Callithrix jacchus (white-tufted-ear marmoset), 2386 nucleotides. RefSeq lists it as uncharacterized. NCBI's taxonomy places the organism in Eukaryota, Metazoa, Chordata, Mammalia, Primates, Cebidae. The record is from RefSeq and is a predicted model, not a curated record.